CUUGCCCUUCAUUUUAUUUAUUUCUACCGCGCGACGUACACUUGAACUCGGAACGAUUUGAAAAAUUACAAGAGAAUCCCAUGCCCAAAAUUUCUAGAUAUACAAUUGGCUCGGAGGAAUUGGUGCCUUCGCUCGCCAAUAUUUCAAACAUGGUUUUAAACGAUGUAAAUACUCGAGCUAUAUCGAGGUGAUGAUUGUAAAUAUAUUUUUAAAGUAUGCACAGUCCCAGAGAUAUUACUCGAUAUACGACGAAGUAAAUAAGUACAGACACGCAAUUUUACUGCCAAUUUUAGACAGAAAUACCAUCGACACUUGGAUAAUUGCGUUAACUACAAGAUCAACCGUGAAAAUGAAAAUUUCCUUGCCACGUGAUCGCGUGAUAGGUACUAUAUACUCGUAAAAAUAUUUACGAGCACGCGUAAGGUGAAAUGGAGAAGCGGACUUGCAAAAUGAUACGCAACGCAAGCUUUCUUUUUCUGACAUGUCCGAUCGAUCCUCCCAAUAUAUAUAAUCGAAUGUGCCUGCAUGGUAUUUAAAAAAAAAUAUAAUCGACACUUCGCAUGAUACUUUGUCGCAUUUCCCCAGUCUUUGAGUUUGUCACCUGCAGCAUUCUGCAAGGCAAUAAUUCCACUCUUUCUGUUUUUUUUUUUUUUCUUCUCUCUCCCCUCUCCCUCCCACGUAAUAUAGCGUUUUCUGUGUAGCCUGAUGCACGUGCCCAAGAAAGAAAACUUGGAACUCGAUAGAGCUCGAAAUUCUCACAUUGAUUUCAUGCGUCCUAUAGUUCUUCUCUCACUAUUUGCCCUUUCUAGCUCUUCUGACAAUAAGCAACUCAAGAUAAAGCUAAAGUGUAGAGGGACCAGCAAAUCGUAAUUUUGUUUAGUCACGUUAGGAUUGUUAGGCGAAUCGUCAUAUUCGAGCAGAUCCGAUGAAACGGAAUUCUUCCCACCGCUUUUCGGAAGGGUGCUACAUUCACGCUACCCUUCCCGGUUCGAGAUGCAGCUUGUCAAUGCGGAAUGUACAUCUUUCUUUUAGAGCUAGAUUCUCUGAAAACGCUCCGACCUUUAGAGUUUGCAGAAACUAUGUGUUGUUCGCUCGUGGGCUGAACGACCGCACAUGAGAUCGUGUUCGUUCGUCAAAUGCACUUCGGAAAUUGUGACUCCGUGCAAGUUUUACACGACGCACCUGCGACGAUCCGUGACUUUCCUUCCGAUCCGAGCUUGACGUUUCACAAUUUCACAACGAUUCUUUUCUACGAAUUUAGUAAUUAAAUUUAAAGAAAAAAAAAGUUACAGAAAUUUGUUACAACAGCUAAUUAAAAGCAACGAGAGAAUAUUUAUUUUUUUCUUUUAGAGUUUUUCAAAUCUUUUAUCGUGGUCACGAAAUUGAAAAUAACAUUUGAAUUGAAAAUUUCUGGCCGUUUAUCGUGGAAGGAGUGGGAAAUGUUCGGAAGAAAAGUGCCGGAGGGACGCGAAGAGCACAUGAGAAUGCACAAUAAACGUUGAUACAAUAAGCUGAUACA
This is a long non-coding RNA of Frieseomelitta varia, 1519 nucleotides long. RefSeq lists it as uncharacterized. The record is from RefSeq and is a predicted model, not a curated record. The transcript is spliced from 2 exons. Lineage: Eukaryota; Metazoa; Arthropoda; Insecta; Hymenoptera; Apidae.